UACGAAGGGGGCUAGCGUUGUCCGGAAUCAUUGGGCGUAAAGAGCGUGUAGGCGGCCCGGUAAGUCCGCUGUGAAAGUCGGGGGCUCAACCCUCGAAUGCCGGUGGAUACUGUCGGGCUAGAGUGCGGAAGAGGCGAGUGGAAUUCCUGGUGUAGCGGUGGAAUGCGCAGAUAUCAGGAAGAACACCAACGGCGAAGGCAGCUCGCUAGGACGGUACUGACGCUGAGACGCGAAAGCGUGGGGAGCGAACAGG
This 253-nucleotide ribosomal RNA is filed under the name uncultured bacterium. Its description in RNAcentral is "partial 16S ribosomal RNA". It matches the Rfam family "Bacterial small subunit ribosomal RNA", at positions 524 to 776 of the family's 1533-position model. The record is from RNAcentral.